UACGUAGGGUGCAAGCAUUAAUCGGAAUUAUUGGGCGUAGAGGGCGCGUAGGCGGGAAGGUAAGUCAGAUGUGAAAUCCCGGGGCUCAACCCCGGAACUGCAUUUGAAACUACCAUUCUAGAGGGUAGGCGGAGAAAAUGGAAUUCCACAAGUAGCGGUGAAAUGCGUAGAUAUGUGGAAGAACACCAGUGGCGAAAGCGGUUUUCUAGCUUAUACCUGACGCUGAGGCGCGAAAGCAAGGGGAUCAAACAGG
RNAcentral lists this ribosomal RNA (253 nucleotides) under uncultured bacterium. RNAcentral describes it as "partial 16S ribosomal RNA". It matches the Rfam family "Bacterial small subunit ribosomal RNA", at positions 524 to 776 of the family's 1533-position model. The record is from RNAcentral.